UGGGGAAUAUUGGACAAUGGGGGCAACCCUGAUCCAGCAAUGCCGCGUGUGUGAAGAAGGCCUUAGGGUUGUAAAGCACUUUCAGUGGGGAAGAAAGGCCUUAGGUUAAUAGCCUAAGGAGUUGACGUUACCCACAGAAGAAGCACCGGCUAACUCUGUGCCAGCAGCCGCGGUAAUACAGAGGGUGCAAGCGUUAAUCGGAAUUACUGGGCGUAAAGCGCACGCAGGCGGAUAAUUAAGUCGGAUGUGAAAGCCCUGGGCUCAACCUGGGAACUGCAUACGAUACUGGUUGUCUAGAGUAUGGUAGAGGGUAGUGGAAUUUCCGGUGUAGCGGUGAAAUGCGUAGAUAUCGGAAGGAACACCAGUGGCGAAGGCGGCUACCUGGACCAAUACUGACGCUCAGGUGCGAAAGCGUGGGGAGCAAACAGG
RNAcentral lists this ribosomal RNA (429 nucleotides) under uncultured bacterium. RNAcentral's name for it is "bacterial SSU rRNA". It matches the Rfam family "Bacterial small subunit ribosomal RNA", at positions 355 to 776 of the family's 1533-position model. The record is from RNAcentral.